Molecule: long non-coding RNA, 3543 nt
Filed under: Sus scrofa (pig)
Lineage: Eukaryota; Metazoa; Chordata; Mammalia; Artiodactyla; Suidae
Description: lncRNA (ENSSSCG00015002914.1, ENSSSCG00050072565.1)
Source: RNAcentral
UGACUGGGAGUUGCUAUUAGAGCACAUGUCCACAAGAUGGCACCAGAGCGCCAGCAGAGCCCUGCUGCAGCUCCAAGGCUGCAUCUCCAGGCUCAGAUACAGGGUGGAAAAUGAUUGGUGGAGACCAGAUAUUUCCAUUUAGAUACAUGUUGCCUCAAACCCUAUGGUUCAGUGUGCCUCAACUCAGAGGAUUUAGGCUCUGACAUCACAUCUCUGCUUCAGUCUCUACAUGAUCAGGUGCCCCAAUGGCCUGAGUGCCUUUAGCUGAUUUGAAGUAGCACACUGGACCCAGAAAUACCUGGCUUAAAUCUUGGGGUGCAGUUUUUUAGUUCAGGCUGGUAUGAUAUUUGGCUUCUGGAAAGCUGGGCUUUGGGUCAUGAAUUCAGCCCAUCAAUGCAGUAGUAUUUUGGGGGGGGGGUGGAGUUUCUCAUCAUCCCUGUGCUCUUUCUGUCCAGAGGUCUCCACAUCCUCCUCCUCCCUACUCUACCUGAGCUUCUUCCUCAUCUGCGGGACCCUGUGCCAAGGAACCUACCCAAAUCCAGGGCUGAAGGGGGCUGAUGGGUUGACUGCCAGCUAUCUUGACUUAACAAGCAGGGUCUCUGAUUUCAGGGAUUGGGUUGGUGUCGGAUGGGGUGAAUGUCCUGGCGACUUUGAGACAGUCCUACCUGCAAGGUAAAGGAGUUAGGAAAUCAUACUGGUAAGUACCCUGGGCCAGUGCAGAGCAGGCUUCUGCUCUGGGAAGCAGAUGAAGGGCUUGGAGUUGCUGUUAGAGCACAUGUCCACCAGACGGCGCCAGAGCAGCAGCAGAGCCCCCACCCCACAGCUCCCCGGCUGCACCUUCAGCCACAAAUAUGAGGUUGGAGAUGGGUUGGUGGAAGCCAGAAGAGGUGCCCAGAGCUGGGGCUUGGCUGCAGGGCACCUCUAACUCUGGACAAGUUGCCUCAUCUUGGGGGAGGGGACAUGGUUCUGCCAUCACAUCUAAGGCUCACUUCCUGCAUGGUCUGGUGGCCCAGGGGCUAGAGAGUUUGACAGGCUGCCUUGGCUCUGAGUCUCCUUUGAUUGUUUGGAGGCAGAUUUCUGUACCCAGAAACACUUAGCUUGAAUCUUGGACGUCCAUUUUUCUGAAAUGAGGCUGACCUCACCUCCUGUCUUUUAGUGUAUUCAGUGCUCUGAGAGGCCAAGGAGGAGGAAAAUCAUGCUGGUUUGUGCCCAAGAUCAGUCCUGGAUUUAUAAGUUCUGGAGUUCCUCUUGUGGCUCAGUGGGUUAAGAACCUUACUUGUAUCCAUGAGGAUGCAGGUUCAAUUCCUGACCGCUUAGUGGGUUAAGGAUCCAGCAUUGCCAUGAGCUGUGGUGUAGGUUGCAGAUGUGGCUCAGAUCUGGCGUUGCUGUGGCUGUGGUGUAGGCUGGCAGCUGCAGCUCUGAUUUGACUCCUGGCCUGGGAUCCUCCAUAUGCUGUGAAUGCAGCCCUAAGAAGACCAAAAACUUACAAGUCUAGUUGUCAAUGCAUUUGUUUCUGGGUCCAAAGAUCUGCCUCUGUUGAAACAAAGGGCACACUGACCCAAGGAACUUUUCACACUCUGGCACCUGGCACACCCAAUCAGGCUGGACAUGCCCAUCAGAUGCUGAAGGCACAGCUGUGUCCCCUCCCUGAGGUGAGGCACUUUGGUGAGAGUAUGAGAGGUACCCUGUAACCAACCCCAGACCUAUGAGCAUGCACCGAGUGUUCCAACAGUCCUACUUUAACUCCAUCGCUGAGACUGUUCUUGCAACCAGGCAGCUGCAGGUGGGCUCCGCCUGUGCUCUUGUGCUACCCGGCGACCCCGCUCUCUGAUCAUGAACUCUCAGCCCUUCCUGCUGUUUCCAUCAUCUGCCUCUGAACCCACCCUGGCUUGGGCGCUGGCAGCUUGAUUUCAUUUCUCUCAGCCACUAAGCGGAAUGAAUGCCCUCAACACUGGGGUAUAUCUCUCUCUCAGUCUCCCAGAGCACUCACCCCAACCUACCCCCCCACAGUACAUCAAAACCCUCCCCACCCACUGUGUCCUGAGCUCCUUCUUGAAAUCAGUCACACUGUUCUCACUCAUAUGACCUUCCUUUGGGUCUGCUCCCUGAAACAGCAGUCACAGCAACUAGAGGUUCAGAUGGAAGGGGAAGAAUUAACUUUGGGGAGAACUCUUGAAAGGUAAAGUACAGGGAUUCCUGUCUGCCCUUCAAAACAGCGCAAUGUGGAGUUCCCAUCAUGGCUCAGUGGAAAUGAAUCUACCAUCCAUGAGGACGCAGGUUUGAUCCCUGGCCUCACUCAGUGGGUUAAGGAUCCAGCGUUGCAAUGAGCUGUGGUGUAGGCUGGCGACUGCAGCUCCAAUUUGACCCCCAGCCUGGGAACCUCCAUAUGCCGAGGGUGCAGCCCUAAAAGAACAAACAGGAAUUCCCGUCGUGGCUCAGUGGUUAACAAAUCCGACUAGGAACCAUGAGGUUGCGAGUUCGAUCCCUGCCCUUGCUCAGUGGGUUAAGGAUCCGGUGUUGCCGUGAGCUGUGGUGUGGGUUGCAAAUGCGGCUUGGAUCCCGUGUUGCCAUGGCUCUGGCGUAGGCUGGUGGCUGCAGCUCUGAUUAGACCCCUGGUCUGGGAACCUCCAUAUGCUGCGGGAGCAGCCCAAGAAAUGGCAAAAAGACAAAAAUAAAUAAAAUAAACAAAAAACAAAAUAGCAUAACUUUGAGAGCUCCACUCAUGACCACCAGCCCCUUUUGCCACAUGACAACUUUAUGGAGGCUGCAGGCUCGGUAAUCAAAAGGCAAAGAUUCAAGACACGUAUGGCAGGACCAGUGUAUUGGGUUCUGGUAAAGCAAAAAGCAAACCAACCCCAGAGACCAUGUCCACCUCUCUGGCCCCUGGGUAACCAGAGAAGGAUGGAAAUACCCAUCAGAUGCAGAAAGCACACCUUUCCACUCCCUGAGGUGAGUCAAUUUGUGCCAGUCAGUGGCACCCUGUAACCCAUCUCAACACACUGGACAAGUCCCAUGGGUCCUACUAACCCACCUUUGCACCAUCUCUUGGCCUGGAGGUGCAGCCAGGGAGCUGCAGAUGGGCUCUCUCUGUACUCUAGAAGGAUUUCCAACCUUCUAGAGGCUGUCCCCUCUUAACACCAACUCUCAGCAUUUCCUCCUGUUUCCCGAGCAUCCCCUGAAGCUAAACUUGGGCCCUGGCAGCUUGAUUUCAUUUCUCCCUAGCCACCAAGCCCAAUGAAGAGGCCUAGACACUGGGGUGAUUCUCUCACAGUCUCCCAAAGCACUCACCUCAACCUACCCCACCCCAGUACUUUAAAACCCUCUGCCUCCCCACCCAGUGUGUCCUGAGUGCCCUCACUCACGUGACCUUCCUUUUGGUCUGCUCCCUGAAACAGGGGCCAGAGACACAAAAAAGGCUCAAGGAGUUCCUGUUGUGGCACAGCAGAAACGAAUCCAACUAGGAACCAUGAGGUUGCAGGUUCGAUCCCUGGCCUCAGUGGGUUAAGGAUCUGGCGUUGCCGUGAGCUGUGGUGUAGGUUGCAG